GAAGAUGCAGCUCAGUGGUAGAGCACUUUUCUAAUAAGUGUUAAGUCUUGGGUUCAAUUCCUAGCAGCCUCC
This 72-nucleotide transfer RNA is filed under the name Heterocephalus glaber (naked mole-rat). It matches the Rfam family "tRNA". From Rfam's summary of the family: Transfer RNA (tRNA) molecules are approximately 80 nucleotides in length. Their secondary structure includes four short double-helical elements and three loops (D, anti-codon, and T loops). Further hydrogen bonds mediate the characteristic L-shaped molecular structure. tRNAs have two regions of fundamental functional importance: the anti-codon, which is responsible for specific mRNA codon recognition, and the 3' end, to which the tRNAs corresponding amino acid is attached (by aminoacyl-tRNA synthetases). tRNAs cope with the degeneracy of the genetic code in two manners: having more than one tRNA (with a specific anti-codon) for a particular amino acid; and 'wobble' base-pairing, i.e. permitting non-standard base-pairing at the 3rd anti-codon position. Lineage: Eukaryota; Metazoa; Chordata; Mammalia; Rodentia; Bathyergidae. The record is from Rfam by way of RNAcentral.